GGCCUGGUAGCACAGUGUAGGGUGCCUGCUUCAGUUAAAGCAAUAAGCUGUCAGCGUUAGCGGGAGGUCCUCGUUCGAAUCGGGGUCAGGCCA
Mycena leptocephala is the source of this 93-nucleotide non-coding RNA. NCBI's taxonomy places the organism in Eukaryota, Fungi, Basidiomycota, Agaricomycetes, Agaricales, Mycenaceae. The record is from the annotation of a GenBank genome assembly.